AUUGAACGCUGGCGGCAUGCUUUACACAUGCAAGUCGAACGGUAACAGGCCGCAAGGUGCUGACGAGUGGCGAACGGGUGAGUAAUGCAUCGGAACGUGCCCAGUCGUGGGGGAUAACGCAGCGUAAGCUGCGCUAAUACCGCGUACGAUCUAUGGAUGAAAGCGGGGGACCGUAAGGCCUCGCGCGAUUGGAGCGGCCGAUGUCAGAUUAGGUAGUUGGUGGGGUAAAGGCUCACCAAGCCAACGAUCUGUAGCUGGUCUGAGAGGACGACCAGGCACACUGGGACUGAGACACGGCCCAGACUCCUACGGGAGGCAGCAGUGGGGAAUUUUGGACAAUGGGCGCAAGCCUGAUCCAGCAAUGCCGCGUGCAGGAAGAAGGCCUUCGGGUUGUAAACUGCUUUUGUACGGAACGAAACGGCUCUGGUUAAUACCUGGGGCUAAUGACGGUACCGUAAGAAUAAGCACCGGCUAACUACGUGCCAGCCGCCGCCGUAA
This 498-nucleotide ribosomal RNA is filed under the name uncultured bacterium. RNAcentral describes it as "partial 16S ribosomal RNA". It matches the Rfam family "Bacterial small subunit ribosomal RNA", at positions 30 to 523 of the family's 1533-position model. The record is from RNAcentral.